Non-coding RNA from Agelaius phoeniceus (red-winged blackbird), 4887 nucleotides. NCBI's taxonomy places the organism in Eukaryota, Metazoa, Chordata, Aves, Passeriformes, Icteridae. The record is from RefSeq and is a predicted model, not a curated record.
GUGGGAGGCCACCCGCGCCCCGAGAGAAGGACACCCCGGCUGCGCCCCGCCACGCCAGCCGCCACCUGCGGAACAAAGCAGGCUUAGCCUUGGCGCCGCCACCGCCGCGACUCCCCUCGCUUUUACUCCCCAGGGGCCGCCGCCGCCCGGGCUGCUCCCCGGGGCUGCUCAGCACCGCCAGCUCUGCCGCUGCCCCGCCCGCCCCGCCAACACUCACCGGGCGGCGGAGCGGGCCGGAACCCGACCGACCGCCCACCCGCCGCCGCCAUCCCGGCCCCUCCCCAGCCUCCGCCCCGGAACAGCGUCACUGCGCGGGGCGCGGAUGUGACGGCGACGGCCCCGGUCUCGCUCCCGGCAGAUCCCGGCUCAGCUCCGCGCCCGCGAGCAGCUGUUCCUGUGGCAACGCCGCCGCCGAUGGCGGACCCGUCCCGGCGCCUGGCGGAGGGUGCCCGCCGCCGCCGCCCGCCAGGGGAGGAGCGGCGGGAGCCUCCCGGCACCGGGCGCUGCCGGACGCGCCACAGGCUGAAGGCGGCCGCGGCCCUGGCCCGCACGGGAAGCGAAGGCCCGGCGGCGAACAUGACAUCAGAUAAGGAGUUUGCAGAAGAUAGCAAUUUUUCUCCGAAAGCCAGCACCAGUAAGCUGCCGACCGAUGCGUCUCCCGACUCCAAGUGCCCCAUCUGCCUGGACAGAUUUGACAACGUGGCGUAUCUGGAUCGCUGCUUGCACAGGUUCUGCUUCCGCUGCGUCCAAGAGUGGUCCAAGAACAAAGCAGAAUGCCCGCUGUGCAAGCAACCCUUCUUUUCCAUUUUCCAUACGAUUCGUGCUGAAGAUGACUUCAAGGAGUACAUCCUGAGCCCUUUAGAAACAAGCUCUUUUGCCAGCCCCGAUGGCCGGAGGUUUCGUUACCGCACCACCUUAACGAGGGAACGCCGCAGGCGCGGUUCCCCUUCCCGAAGGGUGGCGUCCCCUCCGGAUAACGGGAUGUUGUUUGAAGGGCUGUCGAGCGAGCCGGCGCGACACAGGCACAGAGAGAUUGAGCAGAUGCUCAGGAGGCUGGCCUCGAGGAGGAAGGCCAGCGCGGAGGGCAGAUCUCUGCGUCAGAUUCAGGAGGAGGACAUGAUCACCUUCCGCAGGGCUCUGUACCGCACCGGCGUGCGCAUCCGCAGCAUCCAGGACGGCGGCCGAUACCGAGAGAUUUCGGCCGAGUUCUUCCGGCGCAACCCUGCUUGCCUUCACCGCCUGGUUCCUUGGCUGAAGCGAGAGCUUACGGUCCUGUUUGGUGCCCACGGGUCUCUGAUCAAUAUUGUGCAGCACAUCAUCAUGAGUAACGUAACCAGGUACGAUCUGGAAAGCCAGGCCUUUGCUGACGAUCUGAAGCCCUUUCUGCUGAAUCGGACAGAGCACUUCCUGCACGAAUUCAUCAGUUUUGCUCGUUGUCCUUUUAACUUAGAAUCAUACGAUCAACACGCCAAUUAUGACUGUCCUGCACCGUCGUAUGAGGAAGGAAGCCACUCAGACUCAUCAAUUAUCACAAUAUCUCCAGAUGUGGCGUACCCACAAGGGCCGGAUCAUAGUUUGUCUGUUCCUGGCCUUGGUCAGGCCCCGUGGGAUGACGAAACUCCGGGGCCUUCCUAUUCCAUUUCAGAAGAGGUUCGUGCAACCAUAGCUUCUCCUCUGGAGUCAUCAGAAAGUUCUGACGAGGACUCUGCUUCAGGGAGCCGAAGAACCAAGCUGCAGACUGAGUUACAGGCCAACGCUGACUCAAACGACAGCGGCUCUUCCUCAGACAAUUGUGUCAUUGUUGGGUACGUUAAGCCGCUAGCUGAGAGGACCCCAGAAGUGGUUGAGCUGUCCUCGGACUCUGAGGAGUCCAUCAAGGAAGAGAAAAGGGAAGAUGUCAAGAAACAGCGACCAGUCCAGUGUCAUAGCUGGAGUGACAGUGACCCAAGCAGGAGCUUCUCACCACAUUCCCCAACAUACGGGGAGGAUGUAGGAAGUUGUAGAAGCUGUUUAUCUCCUGCAGUUGAGAAGAUGGAAUCAAAAGGGAAUGAGAAAAACAAAUACAAAAGAAAAGAUCUGCCUCCACAGGACUUGAGUUGGAGCCCCUCUCCAGGGAGUGAUACAGUAUGCUCCCCUUGGAAUCACAGAUUGUCUAAAAAGGGAAAGUCUAGAAGCCCACAGUCCUGUUCACGGGACAGUCGAGGCAGCCAUGGCCAUCGGUCUAGAAGGGAGCACCGUAGCAAAAGCCAACUUAAAAAGAGACGAUCGAGAAGCAGAGAUAGUAGCAAACAUAGGAGCAAAAGAAGCAGCAGAAGAUCAAGGGCUCAUGACACCAGAGCCUCUCUGAAAAGCCAGAGGGGCUCUCUAAGUGGUGAGAGCACUCCAUCCAGAGAAGUGAGCCGAUCACGUUCACGCAGCAAAGGCCACAGUAAAAGGAGAUCAAGAAGUAGAGACAGCGAUCGCUAUUAUGUAAGAGACAGUUACCAAAGCAGACACCAGUGGGGUUCUGCUUUCUGUAGUCGAAAGGUGUUUGGAGACAGCUAUGAAUCCUCCAGCAGAAGGAGGACCCGGUCUAACACUCUUUACUCACGGCAAUCUUCUAGUCCAGAAUACAGGAUACGAUCAUUUAUUGAGAGGACAGAUCUGCAUAGCCAGAGGGGACUCCAUGAGAGACACUAUUACUGUUAUGAAAGAUGCAGGUCAAGGAGUCGGUCAAGCAACAGAUCAAGGACUCCUUCUGGAGGAAAUGACAGAAUGAAAAGUGAAAAGCCUGGUGGAAAAAGGAAGUACAAAACUCGCCACCUGGAGAAUGCAUUCAUGGAAAGCACAAGUCUAGAAAGAGAAAAUGAGUCCAAGAAAACUUCCUCAAAAUUUGUUGACUGCUGCAAAAAUGAAGAUAGCCUGUCAGACAAUCGUGCAAGCAGUGAGACAAAGCGUAAGAAAAGGAAGAAGAAAAUGAGGAGUCCAAGUGUGGAGAUAGUCUAUGAAGGAAAAGCAACGGACACAACGAGGCAUCUUAAAAAGAAAAAGAAAAAGCAUAAGAAGAAACACCGGAAACAUCACACGAGUAACUCAGUACAUUCUUCUCCGGUGGUGAUUACAAUUGAUAGUGAUAGUAGUAAGGAACCAGAAAGUACCGAAUGGGACAGCAGUAUUACAUGGACAGGAACAACUCAAAUAAAUGAGAGGGAAAAUGAGUCUCCAUCUUCUUUUCUGAGGAGCACAGGAUGUGAGGAAACUGGAGAAGUAGACAAAAAGUAUGGUAUCCCUGACACAAGGGAAAACUUAGGUGGUGGCGUUAGAAAUGCUGAUGUCAAAAUUCAGGAAACAGCAGCUGAUCAGAGUGUUGCCACAGUGAGUACCAGCAGCAACACCUCUCACACAGAAACUGUAACCAGUUAUGUUCAGGAAGCACCAGCAGCGCCUUCCAGUCAACUGCCUUCCCCCAGGACUUCCUUCCUAGAGUGUCCAGAGAGAGAGCCAUUGAUACUGAGACUGCCAAAGAGACUUGUCAACAGAUCCUCGUGGUUUGAUUUCCCAGAAGAAAAAAUGUAGUAGGCUUUCCUAGGAACACUUGUUAAAACUGUGAAUUUAACUACUUUCUUUUUUCCCUUGAAAACUAAAAUGUCUGGUAGGAUUUCUGUCUGUUAAAGAGAUGUCUAGGAAAUGUAUAAAACUUCUGAAUGUGUAUGCACUUUUAAGUCAAAGAAGAUAGAAUAUAGCUAGUAUGUAAUUCUAAAAGUUUGUUAGAGGACUGUUUGGAAGUUUUAAUUUCAUAAAGCCAUCCACAGUGUAUUUCAAAGUUUUGUGUAAACCAAACAACAGAAAAGGAAUCCAAACCAAGAGCCUAGAAAUGCAUUUUAUGGGGAUUGUUCUUCUUAGACCAGAAAAAUGUUUAGUUCAUAAAAAGUGAUUCAGUCUGAAUUCCAGCAUCAUUUCAAUUUCUGGUUUAAGCAGAUCUCUGCUGAAAAGCAGUCAGUGAUUUCUACAGAAAUUCUCAAAUGACUUUGAGUAAUUUUAAGGUCUGGCCCUUCUCUGUGUGCACAGCAGUAGCUCUGAGGGCUGAAUGAGGAGGGUACCUUCACUGUCUCUCCUGCACUACCUCCACGAGUUUUAUGGAUUUGACCUUGGCUGGUUGCUUGCCAGAUAUGCAGUACUUCUGAAACAGAUUGCUCCAGCUGCCAGGAAACCUGCUCCUGUAUGUGCUCCUAAGCACAGGCUUCAGCUCCUGACAGGAGCCUGUUCCUGUGUGAGAUCUCCAUGGGCUGUAGCUUCCAUAAGGGCAUCUCUACCUGCUCCAGAGUGGGGCUUUUCCACAGCCUGCAGGUAAAACUCUGCAGGAAUCACAUAGAUGAUUAAAAACAGAGGGCCAUCACAAGCUAGUGAUUGAGCUGUGUUCAGGCCUAUUGGUUGGUACAGAGCAGUGAUGGAUGACAGUGUACAGUCAGAAAACAACCUUGUGCAGGAAACAGCUGGCACCACAAUGAAGAUUGCCAAAGAACAAGUUGCUGUCACAGAAUGCCCCUACCAUGUCCCACAGGCCAAACAGCUGCCAGAGAUAGUUUCUUAUACGAAUGCCUUGUUGUCACCAAUUAGAGAGUAUAAUGAUCAGUUCCAGUUCCAUCAUAACUGAAGGACAAGAGAGACAAAUAAGGAUAGGGUAAGUAAUUUUUCAGCCAUCUGUCUUCUGAAAGCACACUACCAGCAUUUCUGCCUUGAGCUGAACCCCACAGCAUCAUACCUUCUAGAGAUGAAAAUAAGAGAGCAUCGACAAAAUGGGUAGUGGUAUUUGGCCAAUGUGUUCUGUCUGAUCCUGACUCUAUACAUUACUGUGGCUAUAAACAAUAUUCAGGUUUCCUCUGAAGGCCUGCUGAAGUGGAAAAUCCU